Glycine soja is the source of this 985-nucleotide long non-coding RNA. RefSeq lists it as uncharacterized. NCBI's taxonomy places the organism in Eukaryota, Viridiplantae, Streptophyta, Magnoliopsida, Fabales, Fabaceae. The transcript is spliced from 5 exons. The record is from RefSeq and is a predicted model, not a curated record.
GAUUUCAUAGCAGGAGGUGGCGGGAAAUUCCCUUUGUACAGGUGAUGACUGGAUAUCUGCUAGCAGGAUCAAUUAUUGAACCAGGAGGUUUGAGAAAUAAAAGCAUUGUGUGAAUGAGAUCAUGAUAUCAUGAAUAAUCUACUUUCUUGUCGAACUUGAUUGAAAUGAAGCAUCGACAACAGGCAUGGUCAACAAUGAGGUUUCUACAUGUCUUGAGGGAAAAUAUGCUACAAUUGUGGUAUGUUGGCUUAUUGGUAAUGGAUGUCUUUUCUCAUGGAAUAGUAUGCUGACUAUAGAAGAUUACUGCAUUUACUUGUUUCCAAUAAGUGAUUAUAAUUUUCAUGCACUUUUCUGCUUAAUUAUCUGACUUCUCAUUCAAAUGGUGCAAUAGCAUUGCUUAAUUGUCUUGGAGACCCCUUUUUUCUCAAUCUAUUAUGUUAUUCUGAGAUGUUGUGAUUGUUUUAUAACAAAAUUUAGUUUUGUUUUUCUCCUCGUGCAAAAAUAUCACCCUUCUAGGUUGCUUACUCUUGUAUAUCAGCCAUUUGCAAUUGGAACACUUGCGAUAUUGGCGUAUAAUGAGGCCAAACUCAAUACACGAAUAAGGAAUAUGUUUGGAUACAUACUUUUUUCAUAAGCACUUUGUUGGUGUUGAUUGUAAGUCUAUCAAUUUGAUGGUGCACUAGGAUUAAUUAGUCCCUUUAGGAUGGUUUUUUAUUCUAUUUUUCCUACAAAUUUGCUAUAGUUACAGCAUCUUGAAAAUGAGGGCUUGGAACUUUCAUUGGUAUAUGUGCACUGAGUGGUGAUUUUGGAGUUGCAGAUGCUUAUGUUCAAGGUGGAAUGGUGGGAGACCUCUCCUACAUGAAACUGGAAUUCAUUCAAUCUUUCCUUGCUGGUGUAGCAGCAUCCGAUGCAUUAACCUCUGCUUUGAGGUUAAUUACAAAAACAACAUUUGAGAAUUCUAAGGACGUUCUCUGCAAAGGAGCGA